CCUACGGGUGGCAGCAGUGAGGAAUAUUGGUCAAUGGACGAGAGUCUGAACCAGCCAAGUAGCGUGAAGGAUGACUGCCCUAUGGGUUGUAAACUUCUUUUAUAUGGGAAUAAAAUGUUCCACGUGUGGGAUUUUGUAUGUACCAUAUGAAUAAGGAUCGGCUAACUCCGUGCCAGCAGCCGCGGUAAUACGGAGGAUCCGAGCGUUAUCCGGAUUUAUUGGGUUUAAAGGGAGCGUAGGUGGAUUGUUAAGUCAGUUGUGAAAGUUUGGGGCUCAACCGUAAAAUUGCAGUUGAAACUGGCAGUCUUGAGUACAGGAGAGGUGGGCGGAAGUCGUGGUGUAGCGGUGAAAUGCUUAGAUAUCACGAAGAACUCCGAUUGCGAAGGCAGUUCACUGGACUGCAACUGACACUGAGGCUCGAAAGUGUGGGUAUCAAACAGGAUUAGAUACCCCUGUAGUC
This 460-nucleotide ribosomal RNA is filed under the name uncultured bacterium. Its description in RNAcentral is "partial 16S ribosomal RNA". It matches the Rfam family "Bacterial small subunit ribosomal RNA", at positions 338 to 795 of the family's 1533-position model. The record is from RNAcentral.